This 406-nucleotide ribosomal RNA is filed under the name uncultured bacterium. RNAcentral describes it as "partial 16S ribosomal RNA". It matches the Rfam family "Bacterial small subunit ribosomal RNA", at positions 30 to 526 of the family's 1533-position model. The record is from RNAcentral.
AUUGAACGCUGGCGGCAGGCCUAACACAUGCAAGUCGAACGAGUGGCGGACGGGUGAGUAAUGUCUGGGAAACUGCAUGAUGGAGGGGGCUAACUACUGGAACCGGUAGCUAAUACAGCAUCCCAUCGGCUGUGCCCAGCUGGGAUUAGCUAGUAGGUGGGGUAAAGGCUCACCUAGGCGACGAUCCCUAGCUGGUCUGAGAGGAUGACCAGCCAAACGUGAACGUAGACACGGUCCAGCCUCCUAGGGGAGGCAGCAGUGGGGAAUAUUGUACGAUGGGCGCAAGCCUGGUGCAGCCAUGCCGCGUGUAUGAAGAAGGCCUGAGGGUUGUAAAGUACUUUCAGCGGUGAGGCGUUACCCGCAGAAGAAGCACCUGCUAACUCCGGGCCAGCGGCCGCGGUAAUAC